AUGGGUGACACUGUUGUGGGUGUUUACUACAGGCCACCUGAUCAGGAAGAGGAAGUCGAUGAGGCCUUCUACAGACAGCUGGAAGUAGCCUCACGAUCACAGGCCCUGGUUCUCAUGGGGGACUUCAACCACCCUGUUAUCUGCUGGAGAGACAACACAGCUAGGCACAAACAGUCCCGGAGGUUCCUGCAGAGCAUUGAUGACAACUUCUUGACACAGGUGGUGGAGGAGCCAACAAGGAGAGGUGUGCUGCUGGACCUCGCACUAACAAGCAAAGAAGGACUGGUGGAAGAUGUGAAGGUUGGRGGCAGCCUUGGCUGCAGUGACCAUGAGAUGGUGGAGUUGAGGAUCCUGCGAGGAGGAGGCAGGGCACUAAGUAGGAUCGCAUCCCUGGACUUCAGGAGAGCAAACUUUGGCCUCUUCAGGGACCUACUUGGAGGAAUCCCAUGGGUUAGGACCCUAGAAGGAAGGGGUGUUCAAGAGAGCUGGUUAAUAUUCAAACAUCACUCCCUCCAGGUUCAAGAGCGGUGCGUCCCUAUGAGUAAGAAGUCAAGCAAAGGAGGUAGGAGACCUGUGUGGAUGAGCAAGGAGCUCCUGGCAAAACUCAACCAGAAGGAGGAAGUAUACAGAAAGUGGAAAGGGGGACAGGCCACUUGGGAGGAAUAUAGGAACGUUGCCAGAGCAUGCAGAGAUGCAACGAGGAAGGCUAAGGCCCAUUUGGAAUUAAAUCUGGCAAGAGAUGUCAAGGACAACAGGAAGGGCUUCUUCAAAUACCUCAGUAGCAAGAGGAGGACUAGGGAAAAUGUGGGCCCAUUGCUGAAUGGGAUGGGUGCCCUGGUGACAAAGGAUGCAGAGAAGGCAGAGUUACUGAAUGCCUUCUUUGCUUCAGUUGUCACUGCUGAGGUCAGCUCUCAGGAAUCCCAGACCCUGGAGGCAAGAGAGAAAGUCUGGAGAAAGGAAGACUUUCCCUUGGUUGAGGAGGUCGGGUUAGAGAUCAUUUAG
This 1002-nucleotide long non-coding RNA is filed under the name Apteryx haastii (Great spotted kiwi). Its description in RNAcentral is "lncRNA (ENSAHAG00000000075.1)". The record is from RNAcentral. Lineage: Eukaryota; Metazoa; Chordata; Aves; Apterygiformes; Apterygidae.